RNAcentral lists this long non-coding RNA (263 nucleotides) under Gallus gallus (chicken). Lineage: Eukaryota; Metazoa; Chordata; Aves; Galliformes; Phasianidae. The record is from RNAcentral.
CGGCGUGCAGGUCUCUGUGCUCUUGGAAGCAGCUGUAAUACUUAUAUUUUUUCCCACAAAUGUCACACGUGUACCUAAAGUUGUUGCCUUGUGAGGCUCCUUCACCUGAGGCAGCUUCAGUGUCUCUAUGCGCUCGCACAUGGGUCUGGAAACAGUUGUAAUACUUGUAUUUCUUCCCACAUAUUCCACACUCAUAAGACCCGAGCGUCUGCUGGUUGCGGACCCCUCCGAUCACCACGCAGAUCUCCGCCGGCACAUCUCCA